AUAGGACUAACAGCACUGGGAAAAAGAUACCGGGGUGGAAAAUUGUUUACUCUGGCGACACGAGGCCUUGUCCAGAACUAGUUGCAGCGUCCCAUGGGGCCACAGUUCUUAUUCAUGAGGCUACCUUUGAAGAUGGCAUGGUGGAAGAAGCCAUAGCGAGAAAUCACAGCACAACACAGGAAGCUAUUGAAGUAGGGGACGCUGCUGGAGCAUAUCGAAUCAUCCUCACUCAUUUCAGUCAAAGAUACCCUAAAAUUCCAGUUUUUGACGAAACACACAUGCACAAAACAAGCAUUGCUUUUGAUAUGAUGAGUGUUAACUUAGCAGACCUACCCAUGCUUCCAAGAGUUCUUCCAUAUCUUAAACUGCUAUUUCGUGAUGAAAUGAUUGUUGAUGAAUCUGAUAAUGUAAAUGUUGCUACAGCAGCAGCUAUUUGAGUUACUGAAUAACACACACUGAUCAAUUUCUUUCUAUUCAUUUAUACGCAGG
This 489-nucleotide unclassified non-coding RNA is filed under the name Hevea brasiliensis (rubber tree). The record is from RNAcentral. Lineage: Eukaryota; Viridiplantae; Streptophyta; Magnoliopsida; Malpighiales; Euphorbiaceae.